This 76-nucleotide transfer RNA is filed under the name Candidatus Propionivibrio aalborgensis. Its description in RNAcentral is "tRNA-Lys". It matches the Rfam family "tRNA". Rfam says of the family: Transfer RNA (tRNA) molecules are approximately 80 nucleotides in length. Their secondary structure includes four short double-helical elements and three loops (D, anti-codon, and T loops). Lineage: Bacteria; Pseudomonadati; Pseudomonadota; Betaproteobacteria; Rhodocyclales; Rhodocyclaceae. The record is from RNAcentral. RNAcentral also lists the same sequence under 1 other name.
GGGGCGUUAGCUCAGUUGGUAGAGCAGCGGACUCUUAAUCCGUAGGUCGAGUGUUCGAAUCACUCACGCCCUACCA